This 431-nucleotide ribosomal RNA is filed under the name uncultured bacterium. RNAcentral's name for it is "partial 16S ribosomal RNA". It matches the Rfam family "Bacterial small subunit ribosomal RNA", at positions 29 to 507 of the family's 1533-position model. The record is from RNAcentral.
AACGAACGCUGGCGGCAGGCUUAACACAUGCAAGUCGAACGCCCCGCAAGGGGAGUGGCAGACGGGUGAGUACCGCGUGGGAACAUACCCUUUUCUACGGAAUAGCUCUGGGAAACUGGAAUUAAUACCGUAUACGCCCUACGGGGGAAAGAUUUAUCGGGGAAGGAUUGGCCCGCGUUGGAUUAGCUAGUUGGUGGGGUAAGGGCCUACCAAGGCGACGAUCCAUAGCUGGUCUGAGAGGAUGAUCAGCCACAUUGGGACUGAGACACGGCCCAAACUCCUACGGGAGGCAGCAGUGGGGAAUAUUGGACAAUGGGCGCAAGCCUGAUCCAGCCAUGCCGCGUGAGUGAUGAAGGCCUUAGGGUUGUAAAGCUCUUUCACCGAUGAAGAUAAUGACGGUAGUCGGAGAAGAAGCCCCGGCUAACUUCGUG